GCCGGGAUGGCGGAGCUUGGUUAAACGCGCCAGCCUUGAGAGCUGGUACCCUUCGGGGUGCGCAGGUUCGAAUCCUGCUCCCGGCG
This 86-nucleotide transfer RNA is filed under the name Candidatus Aenigmatarchaeota archaeon. RNAcentral describes it as "tRNA-Ser". It matches the Rfam family "tRNA". From Rfam's summary of the family: Transfer RNA (tRNA) molecules are approximately 80 nucleotides in length. Lineage: Archaea; Nanobdellati; Candidatus Aenigmatarchaeota. The record is from RNAcentral.